UCCUACGGGAGGCAGCAGUGGGGAAUAUUGCACAAUGGGCGCAAGCCUGAUGCAGCCAUGCCGCGUGUAUGAAGAAGGCCUUCGGGUUGUAAAGUACUUUCAGCGGGGAGGAAGGUGUUGAGGUUAAUAACCUCAGCAAUUGACGUUACUCGCAGAAGAGCACCGGCUAACUCCGUGCCAGCAGCCGCGGUAAUAG
RNAcentral lists this ribosomal RNA (196 nucleotides) under uncultured bacterium. Its description in RNAcentral is "partial 16S ribosomal RNA". It matches the Rfam family "Bacterial small subunit ribosomal RNA", at positions 337 to 526 of the family's 1533-position model. The record is from RNAcentral.